This is a long non-coding RNA of Topomyia yanbarensis, 5206 nucleotides long. RefSeq lists it as uncharacterized. NCBI's taxonomy places the organism in Eukaryota, Metazoa, Arthropoda, Insecta, Diptera, Culicidae. The record is from RefSeq and is a predicted model, not a curated record. The transcript is spliced from 3 exons.
UAUCCCGAACUCGGCCAAAUGUGUGGCAGCAGCAGGAAGUGCCGUAGGUGGCAGGAAGUUGUGGGGGCCUGGUCAGGAGGUUCGUAACCGUGUCGAGUUCCGAAAGUUUGAGGAAUGAGGAGAAACGAGAGAGAAAGAUGGUAAGAGGCAAAACGAAAGACAGAGCGCGGUGGUGUUAUACGCUAAUGACGCCAGCGUCCGUCGUGCUCCAACCUGCAAUCGUUAGUUGCUUCGCACUGCCUACUAGUUGCGCCUCACAUCUCACGCGCUGCUCGAUGAGCGCGACGGGCAAACGAAAACCUGAACCGCGACUUUACUAGUCUAUCAUUGAGCUCUGGGACCGGGCUGACUGUCGCUCGGCAAUGUGUGUGUGUAUGUGUGGCUGUGUAUGUGCGAUGUGUUAGUUGGAGGACCGCGGACAAGUGUGAGUGCCGCUGGUGUUCUGGAAUUUUUCUUCAUCUCCAUACGAUUCAUCCAGAUCAUCAACACCAGCGCUCGGAGGUCGCUGUUUUUCCUGUUCGAGAUGCGAAAGCUAGCGGAUGUGCGCUGAUGGAACUCUCUCCCUCCCGGUGCCAGACUGGAGCCACCACGAUCAGCCCAUCUACCAUAAGUUCCCAGUGUAACCAGUGCUAGUGUUUAGUGUGCGUUUAGACACCGCUGUAAACGCGAUUAACGGAAUUAAUUGGAUUACAGUGAUUGAAUUUCGUCCAAUUUAUACACUUUCUAUUUUCGGCUGAUUGUAUCAGUUUUAUUUCUGCUGUCCGAAAUAGUUUUUUUUUUCAUUCGAAUUCAAGUGCCCGUAGCGAACUGAAGAAAGUAGAAAAAUAGACUAUGUGUCAACUAGCUACGGCUUCGAAUGUACCCUCCUUCCGUUUAAUUGAAGUUAAUUGAAAGUUUGACUUUUGUGAUCAGUGUUCCGAUGAAGCAGAUAGUGACCAAGUGCUGAACAGAGUUUGAAACCGUUUCACCCGAAUGCGCACGUAGUUGAUUGGUUAAAUUUGGCUACGAGCUAGAACAGAAGUGGAAAUGCCGGGACUGGAAGAAGGAAUACACGGACACUUGUUGAACAGUGCGAUGUGUGUAUCUUGAACAAAGAGAAUAAAAAAAGAUUACGCCUAUAAGACAGACACAUUUUUACAAAAGUGGCGACAUUGCAGAACGAAUAACUACAUCAUCAUCAUCAGCAGCAGCAGUAGUGGCGACGAAUUCCUCACGAUCUGGGACAUUCAUCGCCACCAAGGGGAGUCUAGGCGAAAAAGAGUAUAAGCACGUGUUUCCCGUUUCUCACAUAGCACACAUCGCUCGACUAGUCGGUCCCGCUGGCAUCACUGAACCAUCUUUGCCAGCCGUCAUCAGCUGUGCACCAGCUCAGCCAGAAACAAUCUUAUGUACACACAUUGAACAGAUUCUGCCAAGUCCAUUUCUAGAACUAACAGAUUUGCAACUCAUGGUCGAUAUUCCAUAUGAUCGGACAAGUCAAUUAAACUUCGUGAUACGUUGGGUAUGUAGAUUCCACUAAAAAAACCAAUUCCCCAUUAACGCCGCCGUGUGUAAAAUGUUUUGCUGAUUUGUCAAAUUGUCUACAUAAACCUCACAACGCUUUUACAUCCGGUCCCAACGAAAAACACAGCAGUAUUCGACAACCUGAAACAAUGUUUAGGAUGCGUGCCCUUCUUGGAAUGGACCCACGUACCAAGCGUUCACGGCCACUGAACGGUACUUGACGGAGCCACCAGCUUUGAGAAAUCGACGAACAACUAUUAGCCAAAUGCCAUCGGGCCACAUUCCAUCACGACCUGGCCCCUUGUGUGAGUGUGUGUGUGUGUGCCUCAAACCGACCGCAUGAAUGGAUCAAGGGAAAAGCACACUCUCAUUAACAUUCAAUGAAUGUUGGGCUUCCAGUGGCGGCACUGUUGCCUCGGCAAAAGCCACCGAACAGCUCAAGAGUUUAGAAAACGGUUCACGACCAUUCCAAACCCGUUUCAGGAGGCGGUAAAUCUCAGCAGCAGCUUCGAAUUCGUGGAACGAACUCAUAUGCCACAUCCUUGGAAACGCGUGGUUUUCGUUUAAUGACCAUUGUGUAAAAUGAGACUCUUAGCACUUGAAGGUAGAAAAAAAUUACCCAGUUAUAAAUAGUACAAAUAAACCACGUUCCCAUGGAACUCGGCGAGGCCAUAUCGCAAGCGUAUUUCGGUUAUCGCGUGUAAGUAGUUUUCUUGCCCUAUGGUCAUCAGCUUGCUGUCGCACUUAACCGAAGAGUGCUUGUGGAAUGCCUAAUCAGAGGAGCGAUAUUCAAAAAACGUACAUACAUGAGCUCUUAAUGCUGUUUACCUAACCAAAUGUCAAAUUGUCUGUCCAGUUCCUGCUAUUUUCGCGGAGCUCACGUCAAUGAAUCACUACCUUGGAAUGUUUUAAAACCAGAAACGUUGGAAACGUCAUCCUGAAUGUCAGAUUAGCUGCCCUGUAAUCGGUAUCCAAACGGUUACUGCUUACCUUUCAAUCGGCAGUCACAACCUGUUAAACCGGACAGCCUGCAUCAAUAUUCACUUGUGCAUACCAUUGACAGGCAACGAUGUAGCAGGGACGUAACUCCCACCGUUACUGCGCUGACUUCACAGCUUGACACCAUAUUAGGAUUAUUGUGCUUCAUACGCACAUCAUCGCAUUCAACUUUGCCGUUGAUUCAUUCACACUUCAACUCACGUAGCUACCGAUGAGAGAUCACUAUUGAAGGCGAUUCCUACCACGAGGAAUGCGGAUUGCCUUUACCAUUUAGGAUCAAUAGUAUAUGAGUAGUAUUACAGGAACUAGUUACGUAAUUGCCAGUCCGUACAUUUGAGCGUAUGGAUGACUAAUCAAACUGCUGUUCGGCGUGGUUAAAUUGUGGGAGUUGUUUUUUAGUCGAAACAUAAUGUGUCUCCAUCAGUGCAAUACCAAAAAUACCAAACUCCAUAAUAAAUACUGCCAGAAUAGCAUUUUUAGCAAAGCAGAAGUUAGAUCGCUCCAAUAACCAUUAGUUGCUGGCAUUCCCGAUUAGAAGCACAUAACAGAAACAUUUUAAAACUAUAUCUCGCACUGUUACUUGUUAUAAUUUUCUGCUAUUUUAACUACUAACGAGACCAGAUUUAUGGCACAGCUUACUACGAAAAUUGCAUUCUGGUAUAAUCUUAUUUCAUUCUGAUCGAGUUGCUCGGCUCACAAAAUUCACUCUCAAAGCAAAAUUUGUCGGACACAAGCAUUUAAGCGCUAUUUUUAUCACCCAGAGCGAAUGCUCCAUUAAAUGGGGCUAGACGUUGGAGAACCCGAUUCCGGACUAUUUAUUUACAUUUUGCUAUUUCCCGGCGCCCGAUAUUAACGCAACUCGGAAACUUCAAAUCCAACCGCAUCGAAAUGUGCGCAUAGAUCUACAGUGAAGAAACCAAGCCUAUUUGAAAGAUGAACAUGAAUCUCUGAAAUAGGGGGAUUGUGGACAAAAUUAAAUGGGACACCAUGACAAAAUGGCUCAAUUGUCGUCUGUUUAAACAUAAAACGUCUAGGGGGUAAAAUGAACAGGUCGUAGUGAUGGUAAUAUGGACCAUCUUAACACUACACGUACCAAACCUCAAAAUUAAUCGGAACGCUAUCUUUAAGCUGCUAUAUAUUUACUGUUUUCCAGCAAAUUCUAAAAAUUUUAACACUUCAUGGCUGUAGAUAUUUGUAGAUGUUUAGAUACCGCUCGCUUGAAAAUCGAUUGAUAUUACGGCAUGACAAUUCAAUUUUCUCGUGUAAGUUUUUUACCCUCAAAAUAUUCUGUAUGUAUGCAAUUCCCACGUACCGAUGGAAAAUCAGCAUUGCUCAAAAAUGCAAUUAAACGCUAGCAUUGCAUACAUAAAGCUCGUUUUGUAGGCUAAAACAAAACAUGACAAUAGGGCCGAGGGUCGUUUUUGUUCCAAUUUUACGUCAGAAUGUUCCUGCUCCUGAUUGGUUGAUUCUAACUUUUUGCACCGCACGCAAUGUUACUGCAUCGAUAGCGAAAUGAUGUUUGGCAGUGUUGCUAUAUUUAUAGGAAAAUAUUGACAUUACUUUUGACAAAUAAAAUGAUUAUCGUUAAAAGAGUAAAAAUGAUUAAAUUGAACAGAAAUUGUCCCGCAAAGUAGAACAAGUAUCUAGUACAGAUUUUCCGCAAACGUGGUUGAUUAUUUUAACAAAAAUAAGACAGCAACCAAGCCAUAAUCUAUUUUUUUCAGAUUUCAUUAAAAAAAAUAGUAACACUGUUCGGAACAUUUCAGCAGGGUGAAAAUGUGCAAAAAGAAGAAUGUCGAAGGAAAAAUAAAAAGCCGAUUAUCACGUCUUGUCUUAGUUUGUAGGUAAAAACCUUCGUCACCAGAAGGCCGCCAUUUUACCCCUACGCUAUGUAAAUGUCCCAUUUUUAGGCAGAUUUUGAAGUCAAGAAUAAUAUUUGAAAAAAUGUGUUUAUGUCAAAGUAUUAUAACCAAUUGUGCAAAAAUCAUGUCUAAAAAUAAGCCUACGAGGUGAUUGUAGUACUUCAAUCACUAAUUAGAGAAUAAUGACUUUGCUUAACAUGUUCGUUUUACCACCAAUUCCCCUAUAUCAACCUCACCGGUUUGACACCCAACAGAUAUGCCCUACCUCUACUGUUGUAUGUUGUAAACGGUGAUAAUGCUUUGCAAAAUGUUCCAAUCAAACUUGUUUUCGCACAACUAAUCGUAGAUAAUGGCAAGGGUCAUGUCGCCCUAGAACCAGUCUGACCUAAUGCUUUCCGGAGAUGUGAGCAUCUUAUUUGCUUUGGCAGUUAUUUAACUGGCGGUGUUCGUGGAUAACCAUUUUUUUCGGCCCCCUGCGUAUGUAGUUGUGUAACUCUUUUCGAUAGAGUCAUACGUACUGGAAUGCCGUCUUAAAAUCUUGUUCAAUGAAAACCUGAUUUGCAGGAAUCGCUAGCAGUGAAUCAUCAGCGUCGUUCAUUGAAGGUAAUGUAGAAAAUACAUAGUGAAUAAUUAAUUGCAGUGGAAUAUAAAUUACGUUUAACAAGUUCUCACGCUAACCUACGACGAUUUAUUUUAUAAAUAGAAAUGUGAUUUUAUUCUUUUUUUUUCUAAGAAAUCAACAUAUUACUCAGCAUCUACCAUACGUUUAUCUAGGGUGACCACUGACCAUAGUAGGCAAGCAAAAAUCCACAACAGUCGCAAGGGAACCCUCAUUAACUCUA